RNAcentral lists this ribosomal RNA (490 nucleotides) under uncultured bacterium. Its description in RNAcentral is "partial 16S ribosomal RNA". It matches the Rfam family "Bacterial small subunit ribosomal RNA", at positions 29 to 506 of the family's 1533-position model. The record is from RNAcentral.
GUGAACGCUGGCGGUAGGCCCAACACAUGCAAGUCGAACGGCAGCACAGUAAGAGCUUGCUCUUACGGGUGGAGAGUGGCGGACGGGUGAGGAAUACAUCGGAAUCUACUUUUUCGUGGGGGAUAACGUAGGGAAACUUACGCUAAUACCGCAUACGACCUACGGGUGAAAGCAGGGGAUCUUCGGACCUUGCGCGAUUGAAUGAGCCGAUGUCGGAUUAGCUAGUUGGCGGGGUAAAGGCCCACCAAGGCGACGAUCCGUAGCUGGUCUGAGAGGAUGAUCAGCCACACUGGAACUGAGACACGGUCCAGACUCCUACGGGAGGCAGCAGUGGGGAAUAUUGGACAAUGGGCGCAAGCCUGAUCCAGCCAUACCGCGUGGGUGAAGAAGGCCUUCGGGUUGUAAAGCCCUUUUGUUGGGAAAGAAAAGCAGCAGGUUAAUACCCCGCUGUUCUGACGGUACCCAAAGAAUAAGCACCGGCUAACUUCGU